UGUAUAGUUAUUAUCACUGCAUGAUGAAAUGGAAAAUCAGCAAUUGAGUGGUAGAUAAGGAUGUUUUUUUACUGAUAGAUUGCCAAGAUAAUGCCUAUAGGUCUAUCUGUGGGUGGGUCCAGUGAGAUCCUAUAAAACCAGAAAGAUGUGCUGCUUUCAUAACCAAGGGGAAAGGUGGUAAGGCAGCAUUACUCUCGCACAACGCUAUAAUUUGUCCUAGUCACACAGGAACAUAGAAACAGGAACUACUAGGUCCGUUCUACUAGAUACAGGAUUUCUCUAACCUUACAAAUCUUGACAGAUCUACACUCCAAACAUGAACAACAACGCUUCUCAGCCUGGGCAGAAUGGAGUUGGGAAGAGUGCAGCAGGAGGCAUCACCUGUCUCGCUGAGAAGCCACUGGAACCUAUCGGUCCCUUUUCGGGUGUCGGCUCUACUGUUGGCGCGAUCGCAGGACGAACAGUUGGAGGAGUAUUGGGAGGAAUAGUAGGAGGAGCUGUGGGAUCUGCAGUUGAUUCUGCAUACCGCCAAUCUUACUAUGAGAAAAAUAAAUGUCCAGAAUGAAUGAAUCAGUUGUUAAACUAUCAUACCAGAUAACCUUUAUAUGGCUUCUACCUUGAUUUGUUAUUGCAUAAAUACUAUGUAUUAUAAAUGUUUCUGUAAUUCUUUGUAUUGGUUCAAUCUAACUGAAGUGUCUGUAUGCUGAGAGACAGUGAGUCCAUGCCUUUACAAACAUUGAGUGUAUGACUUUUGGCUCUUUGCCACCUGGAACACAAUGGUUUCAGUUUUACAUCCUCCUCAUAACUCACAUUUAACUAUGUUUUAAUGAAAUCUGAACAUAUCAGUUCAUGCCUUAAGGAUAGAAUCCUUAAUCGAAACAAUAACAAAGCCGUCACCCCUCUGUUUAGGUAAAGAGCUGGGAAACGGGCCUGAAGAAAGAUAACCAUUCUCAGAUUCAUAGAUCUAUGCCUACAAGGACUGACCAUCCAUGAUAUCAACAUUAUAGUUUUAACCAUGUUUUGAGGCUAUGCAGUGUUUGUUUAUGUUCACAUUGUUUACAAACAUUGGAGUAAUGUUAUAAUUAUACACAUAGGAUGUUAUUCUUUUUCUCUUUCUCUCUUGUUUUAGAUAAUGGGUGUUGGGUUGUAAGAUACAAGAAAGAAACAAAACAUACUGUAUCAUUAAAUAAUGGACCAAUAUUGGCUGGUUUUGUGACUAGAGAAGCAGUGUGACUACUAUUGGUGGGUGUUUUGUUAUUUUACUAAAAGCAGAGCAUAUGAGAUCAUACUGGAGAUAUGCAUUUAGUUGGUUACGAAUGAAAACACUGUCACUCUGUGGUAGGAACCUGAUACAACAAUACCAGGGUCAGACAAUCAAAUAGCAAUGUAGAUAGUUUUACAGGAGUUCUGAUGAUGGAGAGAACUCAACGUUUGACUGCUUUAGGUUUGAUUUAUAUCUAAACCACACUGAAACAGACUUUCAUCUCUAAGCAGGACUUCCAUAUUUACAUAUUUUAAGCUUGCUGUAUUGUAGACUGUACAAUGUAAAGUGUCAUUAAAGCUGACCAAAUAAUAUGAAUAUACCUGCAUUUAGUUUCAUAUUUUUCAUACCAUACUUCACAAAUAUGAUUAUUAUAUGAAUAAACCUGUAUUUAUUUUGCGUCUGAAUACUGUACCUGACCUGUAAUCCCCCAACUAAAAGAACUACAAACAAAAUUAAAAAGCUGGU
Molecule: long non-coding RNA, 1729 nt
Filed under: Salmo salar (Atlantic salmon)
Lineage: Eukaryota; Metazoa; Chordata; Actinopteri; Salmoniformes; Salmonidae
Description: lncRNA (ENSSSAG00000085042.1)
Source: RNAcentral